Molecule: unclassified non-coding RNA, 232 nt
Filed under: uncultured fungus
Lineage: Eukaryota; Fungi
Description: sequence contains ITS1, 5.8S rRNA gene
Rfam family: 5.8S ribosomal RNA (bases 184-232)
Source: RNAcentral
UCUCCGUAGGUGAACCUGCGGAGGGAUCAUUACCGAGUGAGGGCCUCCGGGUCCGACCUCCAACCCUUUGUCUACCGACCCUGUUGCCUCGGGGGUGACCCGCGCGUCUUCGGCGCCGGGGCCCCCGGUGGACCAACCCAUAACACUGCAUCUUUGCGUCGGAUAUUAAUGAAAAUAAAUAAAAACUUUCAACAACGGAUCUCUUGGUUCUGGCAUCGAUGAAGAACGCAGC